UACGUAGGGGGCAAGCGUUGUCCGGAUUUAUUGGGCGUAAAGAGCGUGUAGGCGGCUUGACAAGUCUGCUGUGAAAACUCGAGGCUCAACCUCGAGAUGUCGGCGGAAACUGUCUAGCUAGAGUCCGGAAGAGGAGAGUGGAAUUCCUGGUGUAGCGGUGAAAUGCGCAGAUAUCAGGAAGAACACCUAUGGCGAAGGCAGCUCUCUGGGACGGUACUGACGCUGAGACGCGAAAGCGUGGGGAGCGAACAGG
RNAcentral lists this ribosomal RNA (253 nucleotides) under uncultured bacterium. RNAcentral's name for it is "partial 16S ribosomal RNA". It matches the Rfam family "Bacterial small subunit ribosomal RNA", at positions 524 to 776 of the family's 1533-position model. The record is from RNAcentral.